This 253-nucleotide ribosomal RNA is filed under the name uncultured bacterium. Its description in RNAcentral is "partial 16S ribosomal RNA". It matches the Rfam family "Bacterial small subunit ribosomal RNA", at positions 524 to 776 of the family's 1533-position model. The record is from RNAcentral.
CACGUAGGGGGCGAGCGUUGUCCGGAUUCAUUGGGCGUAAAGGGCGCGCAGGCGGCCCGGAAAGUCGGAUGUGAAAUUUCGGAGCUUAACUCCGAAACUGCAUUCGAUACUGCCGUGCUUGAGGACUGGAGAGGAGACUGGAAUUUACGGUGUAGCAGUGAAAUGCGUAGAGAUCGUAAGGAAGACCAGUGGCGAAGGCGGGUCUCUGGACAGUUCCUGACACUGAGGCACGAAGGCCAGGGGAGCAAACGGG